This is a long non-coding RNA of Rhincodon typus (whale shark), 1067 nucleotides long. RefSeq lists it as uncharacterized. The record is from RefSeq and is a predicted model, not a curated record. Lineage: Eukaryota; Metazoa; Chordata; Chondrichthyes; Orectolobiformes; Rhincodontidae. The transcript has 4 exons.
CCCAGACCAUCGCUCGGAAUCUGCUCCUGUUCCUGCUUCUCCAGCCAAGUCUAGGGUUCGUACUGAGCAGGCCCAAGAGGCAGGCCCCAGGUGCCCGCGAUGUUGGAGACUCCAGCCUGAAUGUGCGAUUUGCCGACGAUGACGAUUAUCAGGAAUUGGCCGGUUACUCAGAGGCAGUGGGCGAGCAGCGAGGGGCAAGGGCAUCCCUGUUUCCCAACUUCGGAAAUCCCCUGGACCGGAUCUUCUCUGAGAAGCGGCUGAUCCAAACUGUCCACCAGGGUCCUCGGAGGAGAAUAUCGACCCCGCUGGAUCAGAUUGGAGGCCCAUCCUUACCCCAUAGGAGGGUCUGGUUGGAUUAUCCGGAGGCCGAGUGGAAUUUGGAUGACGACGUACCGACCGGACACCGGACUGAUCAGGAAUAAAAUGUCAAUCAACAGUCAGCGGGGAUGGAUCCCGAGUUUAUAAGAAAUCUCCUCAGCGUCACAAAUGCCGGGCACUUUUUAAACAAUUAUCCUUGCUUUUCCGCUCGUAUUUAAUUCCCAAUGAUUUGACUCCGAAGAGCGUGGUGUGAGGGUUUUCCAUGGAAGAAUUUGAGAUUCCCUCAGUAGCAGAGCUGAUGUCAGAUUGUCUGUUAUCUUGCUGUAAGUGUCACUGAAAAGUAUUUGUUCUUCUCCUGCAAAUAGAAAAGCUCACCACGAAACUGCAGAUGUACACGCAGCGUGCAAUGAGAAAAGAAUAACUUGCAUUUCUGUAGCUCUUCAGCCCUUCACACUCACGGCUGGAUUCUUGGAAAUAUCACAUCCAAUUUCCAAACAGCAAGCUCCCAAAACCAGUUAUGUGAUAAAUAAGGAGGGGAUGGGUUUCCAGUGAUGUUGGUUGAGGGAUUAUUGUUGGCACAGUAUAUUGAGGAAGAUUACCCCUUCCUCACCCACCCCCGCUCCCCGAUCUAGGACAUCUGUAAAUAACUAGUCACCAAACUGUGCGACACUCUCUCAGCGCUGACCCUCCAACAGCGCGGUGCUCCCUCAGCACUGACCCUCCGACAGCACGGCGCUCCCUCAGCACUG